This 301-nucleotide ribosomal RNA is filed under the name uncultured bacterium. Its description in RNAcentral is "partial 16S ribosomal RNA". It matches the Rfam family "Bacterial small subunit ribosomal RNA", at positions 509 to 807 of the family's 1533-position model. The record is from RNAcentral.
CAGUAGCCGCGGUAAUACGGAGGGGGCUAGCGUUGUUCGGAAUUACCGGGCGUAAAGCGCACGUAGGCGGCUUGGUAAGUUAGAGGUGAAAGCCUGGAGCUCAACUCCAGAAUUGCCUUUAAGACUGCCGAGCUAGCAGGUGAGAGAGGUAAGUGGAAUUCCGAGUGUAGAGGUGAAAUUCGUAGAUAUUCGGAAGAACACCAGUGGCGAAGGCGGCUUACUGGCUCAUACUGGACGCUGAGGUGCGAAAGCGUGGGGAGCAAACAGGAUUAGAGACCCGAGUAGUCCCUGUCUCUUAUAC